UGUAUAUCUGAUCUAUUAUAUAUUUAAGAUAAAAAUAUAUGAGACCCAUAUAUUUAAUAGAUGAGUUUCAUUAAAUAUUUUGUAUAUUUGAUUCAUGAUAUAUAGAGUAUACACAAGAAAAAUCACUAAAAAUAAUAGCGUUUAGUUAUUUAUUUUUUAAAUGAAUUCAUAAUUUUCCUUUUACAGAAUCCAUUAUUAACACUAAAGUUCUAACAGUGCAGAUUUCUG
RNAcentral lists this unclassified non-coding RNA (228 nucleotides) under Hevea brasiliensis (rubber tree). Lineage: Eukaryota; Viridiplantae; Streptophyta; Magnoliopsida; Malpighiales; Euphorbiaceae. The record is from RNAcentral.